Molecule: ribosomal RNA, 253 nt
Filed under: uncultured bacterium
Lineage: Bacteria
Description: partial 16S ribosomal RNA
Rfam family: Bacterial small subunit ribosomal RNA
Source: RNAcentral
UACAGAGGUCCCAAGCGUUGUUCGGAUUCACUGGGCGUAAAGGGUGCGUAGGCGGUCGGAUAAGUCUGAUGUGAAAUCUUCGAGCUCAACUCGGAAACUGCAUCGGAAACUAUUCGGCUGGAGGAUUGGAGGGGAGACUGGAAUUCUCGGUGUAGCAGUGAAAUGCGUAGAUAUCGAGAGGAACACCAGUGGCGAAGGCGGCAUCCUGGACCAACACUGACGCUGAGGAGCGAAAGCCAGGGGAGCAAACGGG